AGGAGCCGUAUGAGGUGAAAAUCUCAUGUACGGUUUUGGAACAGAGAAUUCUUUGUAUAUAUUUAUUCAUUAUGGUAACUUUGUUCAACUAUAU
Gossypium arboreum is the source of this 94-nucleotide non-coding RNA. NCBI's taxonomy places the organism in Eukaryota, Viridiplantae, Streptophyta, Magnoliopsida, Malvales, Malvaceae. The record is from Rfam.